UAGGGAAUAUUGCCCAAUGGACGAAAGUCUGAGGCAGCAACGCCGCGUGCACGAUGAAGGCCUUCGGGUUGUAAAGUGCUUUUCUGGAGGACGAGAAAGGACGGUACUUCAGGAAUAAGGAUCGGCUAACUACGUGCCAGCAGCCGCGGUAACACGUAGGAUCCGAGCGUUAUCCGAAUUUACUGGGCGUAAAGCGCGUGUAGGCGGUUUAGUAAGUUGGAUGUGAAAGCUCCUGGCUCAACUGGGGAGAGGCCGUUCAAAAACUACUAAACUAGAGGACGGUAGAGGGAGGUGGAAUUCCCGGUGUAGUAGUGAAAUGCGUAGAUAUCGGGAGGAACACCAGUGGCGAAGGCGGCCUCCUGGACCGUUCCUGACGCUCAGACGCGAAAGCUAGGGGAGCGAACGGGAUUAGAACCCCGGUAGUCCUAGCUGUAAACGAUGUGAACUUGGCGUCGGUGGGGUAAAAUCCAUCGGUGCCGUAGCUAACGCGAUAAGUUCACCGCCUGAGGACUACGACCGCAAGGUUAAACU
This 531-nucleotide ribosomal RNA is filed under the name uncultured Chloroflexota bacterium. RNAcentral's name for it is "bacterial SSU rRNA". It matches the Rfam family "Bacterial small subunit ribosomal RNA", at positions 355 to 901 of the family's 1533-position model. Lineage: Bacteria; Bacillati; Chloroflexota. The record is from RNAcentral.